GUCCACCUUCAAUAUGUGUUUUCCACAAAACAUGAGGAUUAGCUCCACCUGCAAAAAAAAAGUAAAACGCAAAAAAAUGGAUUUAAAAAAAAUAUUUAAAAAAAAGAUAUGUGAGACUGGGAGAUUCUGCAGUUGUCAAACUACGAGUAUGUGGGGGUCUGCCUUCCUGUGUGGAGUUUGCAUGUUCUCCCCAUGCCUGCGUGGGUUUUCUCCAGGUACUUCGAUUUCCUCCCACGUUCCAAAAAUAUGCAGGGCAGGUUAGUGGAAGACUCUAUAUUGCGCUCUUGGUGAUGUGAGCGCAAAUGCUUGUUCGUCUAUGUGUGCCCUGUGUUUGUCAGGAAACCGGUUCAGGGUGUAACCCGCCUAUUGUCCGAAGACAGCUGGGAUAGGCUCUAGCAACCCCCCCGCGACCCUUGUGAGGAUAUAUAUAAAUCAGCAUGUAUUGUAUAAAGUCCAUCAUAAUAUAGAAGAAUGGAUGGGUAACUAUUAGAGCUGUCGGUUUAGUGCUUUUUUUAUUGGCAUUUUACUUUGUUAACUGAUUUGUUAAGCGCUUUGUUACAGCUGCCACUGUUUUGAAAGCGCUAUAUAAAUCAGCAUGUAUUGUAUUGUAUUAAUUUAAAUGAAUUUUAACAGAUUAAUUUUUUUCUCACGAGAUUAAUGCGGCACACGUCACAAGCGGAUGUUACGGUGCUCUAUAAAUACACCAGAAACAAAACAA
This is a long non-coding RNA of Hippocampus zosterae (dwarf seahorse), 718 nucleotides long. RefSeq lists it as uncharacterized. NCBI's taxonomy places the organism in Eukaryota, Metazoa, Chordata, Actinopteri, Syngnathiformes, Syngnathidae. The record is from RefSeq and is a predicted model, not a curated record. The transcript has 2 exons.